ACGGGUGAGUAACGCGUUGGUGACCUACCCCAAAGUGUGGGAUAACAGUCCGAAAGGAUUGCUAAUACCGCAUGUGGUCAUUGGAUUUAGAAACUGAUGACUAAAGGAGCAAUUCGCUUUGGGAGGGACCUGCGUCCCAUCAGCUAGUUGGUGAGGUAACGGCCCACCAAGGCUACGACGGGUAGGGGACCUGAGAGGGUGGCCCCCCACAAUGGAACUGAAAUACGGUCCAUACACCUACGGGUGGCAGCAGUAGGGAAUAUUGGGCAAUGGGCGAAAGCCUGACCCAGCAACGCCGCGUGUGUGAUGAAGGCCUUCGGGUCGUAAAGCACUUUUCUGGGAGAUGAGAAAGGACAGUAUCCCAGGAAUAAGUCUCGGCUAACUACGUGCCAGCAGCCGCGGUAAAACGUAGGAGGCGAGCGUUAUCCGGAUUCACUGGGCGUAAAGCGCGUGCAGGUGGCGCGGUAAGUUGGGCGUGAAAUCUCCCGGCUCAACUGGGAGAGGUCGUUCAAUACUACCGUGCUUGAGAGCAGAAGAGGAAGAUGGAAUUCCCGGUGUAGUGGUGAAAUGCGUAGA
RNAcentral lists this ribosomal RNA (576 nucleotides) under uncultured bacterium. RNAcentral describes it as "bacterial SSU rRNA". It matches the Rfam family "Bacterial small subunit ribosomal RNA", at positions 102 to 694 of the family's 1533-position model. The record is from RNAcentral.